This 263-nucleotide unclassified non-coding RNA is filed under the name Hevea brasiliensis (rubber tree). Lineage: Eukaryota; Viridiplantae; Streptophyta; Magnoliopsida; Malpighiales; Euphorbiaceae. The record is from RNAcentral.
AAAAAAAAAAAAAUUCAUGUAGGACAUAAAAGUAACAUAAAUAUCAUACUUAAGAAAGUCAGAUUGCAACCAUCUCCAUUUGGAAGCGAACCAUGACUAUGCUUCUCAAUCAUUCUUGGUUGGAGGUGAUCUAUGAUUAUUAAUUACUGGCUAAGAACAACCAUUCCUUUUAGCCUUUGAUUAAAAGAUCAUGGUCAAAAACUUUUCAUUUGGACGCCAUAAAUCAUCAGUCAGGAUAUCAGUUGAGAACAUGAACACCAAAC